GAUGAACGCUGACAGAAUGCUUAACACAUGCAAGUCAACUUGAAUUUGGGUUUUUAACUUAGGUUUGGGUGGCGGACGGGUGAGUAACGCGUAAAGAACUUGCCUCACAGUUAGGGACAACAUUUGGAAACGAAUGCUAAUACCUAAUAUUAUGAUUUUAGGGCAUCCUAGGAUUAUGAAAGCUAUAUGCGCUGUGAGAGAGCUUUGCGUCCCAUUAGCUAGUUGGAGAGGUAACGGCUCACCAAGGCGAUGAUGGGUAGCCGGCCUGAGAGGGUGAUCGGCCACAAGGGGACUGAGACACGGCCCUUACUCCUACGGGAGGCAGCAGUGGGGAAUAUUGGACAAUGGACCAAGAGUCUGAUCCAGCAAUUCUGUGUGCACGAUGAAGUUUUUCGGAAUGUAAAGUGCUUUCAGUUGGGAAGAAAAAAAUGACGGUACCAACAGAAGAAGUGACGGCUAAAUACGUGCCAGCAGCCGCGGUAAUACGUAUGUCACAAGCGUUAUCCGGAUUUAUUGGGCGUAAAGCGCGUCUAGGUGGUUAUAUAAGUCUGAUGUGAAAAUGCAGGGCUCAACUCUGUAUUGCGUUGGAAACUGUGUAACUAGAGUACUGGAGAGGUAAGCGGAACUACAAGUGUAGAGGUGAAAUUCGUAGAUAUUUGUAGGAAUGCCGAUGGGGAAGCCAGCUUACUGGACAGAUACUGACGCUGAAGCGCGAAAGCGUGGGUAGCAAACAGG
Molecule: ribosomal RNA, 735 nt
Filed under: uncultured Fusobacterium sp.
Lineage: Bacteria; Fusobacteriati; Fusobacteriota; Fusobacteriia; Fusobacteriales; Fusobacteriaceae
Description: bacterial SSU rRNA
Rfam family: Bacterial small subunit ribosomal RNA
Source: RNAcentral